RNAcentral lists this ribosomal RNA (468 nucleotides) under uncultured bacterium. RNAcentral's name for it is "partial 16S ribosomal RNA". It matches the Rfam family "Bacterial small subunit ribosomal RNA", at positions 28 to 507 of the family's 1533-position model. The record is from RNAcentral.
GAUGAACGCUGGCGGCGUGCUUAACACAUGCAAGUCGAACGGUGAAGGCGGAGCUUGCUCUGCUGGAUGAGUGGCGAACGGGUGAGUGAAACGUGAGCAAUCCGCCCCUGACUCAGGGAUAAGAGCUGGAAACGGCGUCUAAUACUGGAUACGAGCUGCGGAGGCAUCUUCAGCAGCUGGGAAGAAUUUCGGUCAGGGCUGGGCUCGCGGCUUAUCAGCUUGUUGGUGAGGUAAUGGAGCACCAAGGCGACGACGGGUAGCCGGCCUGGGAGGGUGGCCGGCCACACUGCGACUGAGACAGGGCGCAGACGGCUACGUGAGGCAGCAGUGGAGAAUAUUGCGGAGUGGGCGCAAGCGUGAUGCAGCGACGCUGCGUUCGUGACGACGGCCUUCUGGUUGUAAACCUCUUUGAGCAGAGAAGAACCGAAAGUGACGGUACCUGCAGAAAAAGCGCCGGCUAACUACGUG